RNAcentral lists this transfer RNA (78 nucleotides) under Oerskovia douganii. Its description in RNAcentral is "Oerskovia sp. Sa1BUA8 tRNA-Arg". The record is from RNAcentral. Lineage: Bacteria; Bacillati; Actinomycetota; Actinomycetes; Micrococcales; Cellulomonadaceae.
GCGCCUUAUCCCUAGUCUAGUUCCAAUAAGUUCUGACUACGGAUCAGAAGGUUGGGGGUUCGAAUCCCUCCGGGCGCA